GACGAACGCUGGCGGCGUGCUUAACACAUGCAAGUCGAACGAAGUGGCGAACGGGUGAGUAACGCGUAAUCCACCUGCCCUUCAGAGGGGGACAACAGUUGGCAACGACUACUAAUACCGCAUACUGAAGGAGGGGAUUGGGUCUGAGUCGCUCGUUGGAGGGGUAACGGCCCACCAAGGCGAUGAUCAGUAGUCGGUCUGAGAGGAUGAACGGCCACAUUGGGACUGGGACACGGCCCAGACUCCUACGGGAGGCAGCAGUGGGGAAUCUUUCGCAAUGGACGAAAGUCUUACGGAGCAACGGCGCGGGAGUGAUGACGGCCUUCGGGUUGUAAAGCUCUGUUAAGCGGGACGCGGUACCGGAAUAGAAAGCCACGGCUAACUACGUGCCAGCAGCCGCGGUAAUUC
RNAcentral lists this ribosomal RNA (408 nucleotides) under uncultured bacterium. RNAcentral's name for it is "partial 16S ribosomal RNA". It matches the Rfam family "Bacterial small subunit ribosomal RNA", at positions 28 to 526 of the family's 1533-position model. The record is from RNAcentral.